UNGCAAGUUCGUGCCCCUUCCUUGGCUGU
This 29-nucleotide non-coding RNA is filed under the name Mus musculus (house mouse). The record is from RNAcentral. Lineage: Eukaryota; Metazoa; Chordata; Mammalia; Rodentia; Muridae.